Molecule: ribosomal RNA, 241 nt
Filed under: Pichia membranifaciens
Lineage: Eukaryota; Fungi; Ascomycota; Pichiomycetes; Pichiales; Pichiaceae
Description: partial 28S ribosomal RNA
Rfam family: Eukaryotic large subunit ribosomal RNA
Source: RNAcentral
GCUCGACCUCAGAUCAGGUAGGAGUACCCGCUGAACUUAAGCAUAUCAAUAAGCGGAGGAAAAGAAACCAACAGGGAUUGCCCCAGUAGCGGCGAGUGAAGCGGCAAGAGCUCAGAUUUGAAAUCGUGCUAUUUUUUUGGCACGAGUUGUAGAGUGUAGGCGGGAGUCUUUGUGGAGCACGGUGUCCAAGUCCCUUGGAACAGGGCGCCUGAGAGGGUGAGAGCCCCGUGGGGUGCCGUGC